Molecule: ribosomal RNA, 251 nt
Filed under: uncultured bacterium
Lineage: Bacteria
Also listed under: 1 other name
Description: partial 16S ribosomal RNA
Rfam family: Bacterial small subunit ribosomal RNA
Source: RNAcentral
ACGGAGGAUCCAAGCGUUAUCCGGAUUUAUUGGGUUUAAAGGGUGCGUAGGCGGUUUGAUAAGUUAGAGGUGAAAUACCGGUGCUUAACACCGGAACUGCCUCUAAUACUGUUGAACUAGAGAGUAGUUGCGGUAGGCGGAAUGUAUGGUGUAGCGGUGAAAUGCUUAGAGAUCAUACAGAACACCGAUUGCGAAGGCAGCUUACCAAACUAUAUCUGACGUUGAGGCACGAAAGCGUGGGGAGCAAACAG